Molecule: unclassified non-coding RNA, 315 nt
Filed under: uncultured fungus
Lineage: Eukaryota; Fungi
Description: partial contains small subunit ribosomal RNA, internal transcribed spacer 1, and 5.8S ribosomal RNA
Rfam family: Eukaryotic small subunit ribosomal RNA (bases 1-73)
Source: RNAcentral
UCAAACUUGGUCAUUUAGAGGAAGUAAAAGUCGUAACAAGGUAACCGUAGGUGAACCUGCGGUUGGAUCAUUAAUAAAUUUCUUUAAAAAUGUAACUAAAAAGUGUUUUAAAAGACCUUUUUAUUACGUUUUUAACAAAUUUGUGAAUAUUAUUUAACGUUUUUUGGGUAGAUCAAUCUUUUUUGAUUUACCCAACAACUUAUUUAAACCAAAUUAUCCUUUUAAAAAAGUCUUUAAUUAUUUUUAAAAAUUAAAUAAUCAAAAACAACUUUUAACAACGGAUCUCUUGGCUCUCGCAUCGAUGAAGAACGCAGC